GGAUGUGAAGGUGAUCUGGCUGAGAAAUAUUACCCACUGAUCACCAGGAUUGAUUUGGCUGAUCUGGCUGGCUAGACAGGUGCCUUAUUCCUCCCUCACCACUCCAUGUGUCUCCCUCCCGAAGCUGCAUGCUCAGUCGAAGAGGACAACCUUCCCCAAAUAGAGGAGGAUUGGUCUUUGGUCAAGGGUAUACCAGUAGCUGCACUCCCCUGCUAGAACCUCUAAACAAGCUCUCAAAUAAAAAAAAUCUGUUGGUCUUAGAAGAACAAAGUGGAUCUUAGGAAACAAGAGUAUAUCAAAUUGCUCUGAUAUAGUUUAGGCCUAGACUCCAUAGUUAGA
Molecule: small nuclear RNA, 339 nt
Filed under: Jaculus jaculus (lesser Egyptian jerboa)
Lineage: Eukaryota; Metazoa; Chordata; Mammalia; Rodentia; Dipodidae
Description: 7SK RNA (ENSJJAG00000003516.1)
Rfam family: 7SK RNA
About the family: 7SK was discovered as an abundant small nuclear RNA in the mid-70s but a possible function has only recently been suggested. Two independent studies have found that 7SK RNA binds the CDK9/cyclin T complex (known as elongation factor P-TEFb).
Source: Rfam by way of RNAcentral